Molecule: ribosomal RNA, 305 nt
Filed under: uncultured eukaryote
Lineage: Eukaryota
Description: SSU rRNA
Rfam family: Eukaryotic small subunit ribosomal RNA
Source: RNAcentral
UAUAGUUCACUUGAUGAUCACUUCUUACAUGGAUAACUGUGGUAAUUCUAGAGCUAAUACAUGAACUCAAGCCCGACUCUGUGGAAGGGUUGUGUUUAUUAGUUACAGAACCAACCCAGGCUCUGCCUGGACCUUUGGUGAUUCAUGAUAACCCAAUGAAUCGCAUGGCAUCAGCUGGCGAUGAAUCAUUCAAGUUUCUGACCUAUCAGCUUCCGACGGUAGGGUAUUGGCCUACCGUGGCAAUGACGGGUAACGGAGAAUUAGGGUUCGAUUCCGGAGAGGGAGCCUGAGAAACGGCUACCACA